This 72-nucleotide transfer RNA is filed under the name Camelus bactrianus (Bactrian camel). It matches the Rfam family "tRNA". From Rfam's summary of the family: Transfer RNA (tRNA) molecules are approximately 80 nucleotides in length. Their secondary structure includes four short double-helical elements and three loops (D, anti-codon, and T loops). Further hydrogen bonds mediate the characteristic L-shaped molecular structure. tRNAs have two regions of fundamental functional importance: the anti-codon, which is responsible for specific mRNA codon recognition, and the 3' end, to which the tRNAs corresponding amino acid is attached (by aminoacyl-tRNA synthetases). tRNAs cope with the degeneracy of the genetic code in two manners: having more than one tRNA (with a specific anti-codon) for a particular amino acid; and 'wobble' base-pairing, i.e. permitting non-standard base-pairing at the 3rd anti-codon position. Lineage: Eukaryota; Metazoa; Chordata; Mammalia; Artiodactyla; Camelidae. The record is from Rfam by way of RNAcentral. RNAcentral also lists the same sequence under 3 other names.
GAGGGUACAGCUUAGUGGUAGAAUGCAUGCCUCGCAGGCAUGAGGUCCUGGGUUCAAUCCCCAGUACCUCCA